RNAcentral lists this long non-coding RNA (3238 nucleotides) under Homo sapiens (human). RNAcentral describes it as "HSALNT0311160". The record is from RNAcentral. Lineage: Eukaryota; Metazoa; Chordata; Mammalia; Primates; Hominidae.
AAACACUGAAAGCACAGUCAAGGAAUGAGCGUGUGCAUUCCAGGUGUUUGGUUUGCUUGGCAGAAAACAAAUUGAGGACAAACAAUCUGCGAAGAAAGCUCACAUGGGCUAAUUCUUAUAUAAGUUUUUCAGAAGAUAAUUGCAGGAGAAACGUAUUAGUUAGAAAGGAUAAUUUCAUGCUCAAUAUCGGUAAAUUCCAUACCUUUGUCUAUCUGGUGUUACUUCUCCCCCAUGGGGCAGAAGACAGGUUGUAAAUAAAUAAUGUAGUGCCUUUCCCUGAGUUUACAGAGGAAUAUCUUAGAGCACGUAUUUGAAGAGCAAGGUAAUAUGCCUUAACUGUAAACAAUCACAAAAGAGUAACUUAAAACAUGCACUUAAAAGCUCAAACCAUGUGAAUCCAUUAGGAAAAAAAAUGAAAAUGCAAUUUUCCUUUAAACUUCACUCAUCACUUAAUAUGCAUCUUUAAAACCAUUUUUCAUCUAUUUUAUCACCAUUUAUUUUCUGAAAAAAUAAUAUUUUCUCUUAAUCACUUAUUCCUAGGCAUCUGUUUGUUCUUAAGUGUGAAUCACUGGGUCCCCUAAAGAAACCUCACUGCUUCAAAUUAAGAUGGGUGGUGAGUGCAAAUAUGGAUUUAGAUAUGCCGUAGUAUUUUUUCCUUAUUUUUUUACUUAAUUAUAUAUCUUGUUGACACUUUAUAAAAGCCAAUGCUAUAGAAUGUGACAACCCUCCAAAUUUAUUUUACUUUUCUUUUCCAGUUAUUCAUGGACUGAUACAAUAUUUGUGACUCAAACCACAACUUUACAGUAUUUUCAAAACAAAUAUUGAUAUACAUACAAUUUCAGUGUACAUAUUCUUAGAAGUUUCAAUGUUUUAAUGGAUAGUCAGUACAUGUAGAGAAAGCAGGAACAAGCUAUCAUUUCUAUUAUGUGGCAAGUAUUUUAUACGUAACUCAUGAAGAAAAUAUUAAACUCACAAUGGUUAAUUAACUUUGCUAGGUGAGUAAGAGGCAGAGAUGGAAUUCAAAUUUAGAUCACCAUGAUGUCAAACCUACCCCCUUCCUAUGACACCGGGGGAGAGUGUGUCCCAAAGAUAUGUAAAAUCAGGAGCUGAUAGUCCGUGGCAUCAUUCGUGCCAUAAACGGCAACCACAAGUAUAGAUCUGUGAAGCAUGCAGACAAAUUUCCGUGUACUUUGCGGCAGUUUCAAAAAUUAAUUUCCAUGGCCUUCUUUGUCAUGGCUUCACUAUACCUACUUCCCUUAGCUCCUGAUUCUUAGUUAGAUGAUACCCAGAUGAGAUAAUUGAAUUCUCUGUUUUGUGUGGCCGUUACAUAUUACAGGGUAAUUCAUAUUACAAAGAAAAAAAUUAAGGAUGAAAUAACUUCUUUCAUUCUUCCUUCAACAAGAAUCCCUAAAUAUAUCAUAACAGAGAUAAUGUCACUGCUAUGACUACAGCCAAAAAGUAGAUAGGUAUGGACAUUACAUAGGCACACAAAGUCCCUUUCACACAGGAGGGAGUUUAUAAAUAUCAGGUAACAUUUACAGUACAAGACAAUAAAACAAAUUAUUUAUUUGAAAUCACAAUGCCACAUGUAGCUUUUGAUCAAACAUAAUCCAAAGGUAAACUCAAAAUCAGUAGAAGAAUACUGACUUUUCACUUAUCACUGUCCCUGCGCCUUCAGCAAAUAAUACUCACAAGGCUACAGAAAUCUUGGAUUUCUAUACAGAUAAGAAUUUUUGCCUGGAGAAACAAGGUAAUUCAGAGUGCAGAAAGAGCAAGCCAAGUGAAGUAAUUCCCGCAGAGCAGAACAAAUGGCACAAAUGACCUAAUCAAUACAGAAAUAAGUACAGAUUUCCUCCACAAAUGGCCACAUGGUAGCUUCCCUAACAAGUUCAGAAAAACAUCACACUCCUUUCAUGUAGAUCUUCUUUACCAUUUAUCGAUGUACCUCAUCAGGAAUACCUACAUUUUAGCUGUCAAUUCAAUAUAUUAGGUAAAUUUACCCAGUAAAAUAUAUAAGCCCAUUCAAGUUUGUAGGUCUGCUUCUGUCUCAAUGCUGUAAAUGCCUUGGCUAACAGUGCAAACUGUUUGAUCCCUGCUUAAGCCUAAGGAUCCAAUCAAUAAAUGAUGAAACAAGUGAUAUCUCCUCAUCCUUUCUUAAAACAUAAAAAACAGUCUAUUUUCACAGCUAGAUCAAAACAAUGAGGUAAUGUUUUCAGUGAUUUUUAGAAAAAUUGAUUUUAGAGCUCUCUUCUCUUGCUAGAUCCUUUGGGCAAAUCUUUUAUUAUACAAAUGGCCUUCUGCUGGAUAUAACCAUUGGUUUUAUCUGCAAAGUGAACAAGUCACAAGUUUACUGUAAUUUUAUUUGAAAUCAUUCUUAGUUCUUAGAUAACAGUCCCAAAUUGCUCCUGGAAGGAUGCUAAGACUAAACUCUCUACAGUAUUACUAGACAAAUCUAGGAGACCUCUGUGAAUCACCACCAGAACUACAAUCUUACCCAAAGCUGAGUCACAUUAGUAGAUUAUAAAAUACUGCAUGGAAUCUUGUGUACACAUAGAAUUCUGAAUCACCUAUGAAUACCCACAUCUCUUUUUCAAAGUCUCUACUGCCCAUCCAAGCUUAUAAAAGGUCAAAUCCUGCUGUCUGUGCAAGGAGUGCCUUCUAGAAACAAUGACCUGCACUCUGUGUUCACAGAUGGCCUCUCCUCACAGAACCAUUGAUGUGGAAGCAUUCAUCAUAUAGAGUAUAGCUGUGUUGAAAACGGAUUCCAAUUAUGCCUGAACAAAAUAUCCAAGAUAACUGCCACAUCAUGAAAACAUUCUCAACACUGGGAGGGGUUUUAUGGGGAUGCUUUAAUUAUGUGAGGCCUAUGCAAUCAAGAAAAAAUAGUGAUAAGGACAUAAGAAACUCCAAAACUAUGAUCACCAGAAAAAAAUGAGUACCAAGAAAUGAGAUAUUGUCUACCUAUCACUUUGGAUUUUUGUGAAACUCUCAAUUACUCAAUUCAUUGUUCAGAAAAGUUAAAAUGCAUUCAUCUCAUCCAAGUGCCUAUAAAAUCCUACACAUCAAGUUUUCCCAAGUAUUUAGCCUGAGACACAAUACAUAGAAAACUUCAAUAAAUACUUGAAAAAUAAGAAUGAAUAAAUGAGUGAUGGUAAUGAUAUCUGAUGCAAAGACAAGCCUUGUUAGCCGUCACCCAAGAACUCAGCUGGCUACUUAACUUGGCUUCCAUGGAAGUUCC